GGCUGCAACUCGCCUACAUGAAGUCGGAAUUGCUAGUAAUCGCGGAUCAGCAUGCCGCGGUGAAUACGUUCCCGGGCCUUGUACACACCGCCCGUCAAACCAUGAGAGUUGGCAACACCCGAAGUCGGUAGUCUAACCGCAAGGAGGACGCCGCCGAAGGUGGGGUCGAUGAUUAGGGUUAAGUCGUAACAAGGUAGC
Molecule: ribosomal RNA, 198 nt
Filed under: uncultured bacterium
Lineage: Bacteria
Description: partial 16S ribosomal RNA
Rfam family: Bacterial small subunit ribosomal RNA
Source: RNAcentral